AAUGCUUUGCUGAAGCUGGUAAAAUGGAACCAAAUCGACCAUUGGAUGGAUUUGGUCCCCUUCAACCAGCUGUAGCUGUGCAUUGAU
Molecule: non-coding RNA, 87 nt
Organism: Dipodomys ordii (Ord's kangaroo rat)
Lineage: Eukaryota; Metazoa; Chordata; Mammalia; Rodentia; Heteromyidae
Source: Rfam